Molecule: RNase P RNA, 350 nt
Filed under: Deltaproteobacteria bacterium
Lineage: Bacteria; Pseudomonadati; Myxococcota; Myxococcia
Also listed under: 1 other name
Description: RNase P RNA component class A
Rfam family: Bacterial RNase P class A
About the family: Ribonuclease P (RNase P) is a ubiquitous endoribonuclease, found in archaea, bacteria and eukarya as well as chloroplasts and mitochondria. Its best characterised activity is the generation of mature 5'-ends of tRNAs by cleaving the 5'-leader elements of precursor-tRNAs.
Source: RNAcentral
CGGAGAGGUCGAGGUGACCGCUGGUGGCGUCGACGUGACGUCACGAGAGGAAAGUCCGAGCUUCACAGGGCAGGGUGCUGGUUAACGGCCAGUCGAGGUAACUCGCAGGACAGUGCAACAGAAAGCAAACCGCCUGCCGCAAGGUAGGUAAGGGUGAAAUGGUGCGGUAAGAGCGCACCGCCUCUUUGGUGACAGAGAGGGCAUGGCAAACCCCACCCGAAGCAAGACCAGACAGGGGUCGCGUGGCCCGCGCGAUGACUCCGGGUUGGUCGCUCGAGCCCGCCGGCAACGACGGGCCUAGAUGAAUGGUCGCCAAGACACAGAACUCGGCUUAACGACCUCUCCGCCGU